This 811-nucleotide ribosomal RNA is filed under the name Salmonella enterica subsp. enterica serovar Kentucky. RNAcentral describes it as "partial 23S ribosomal RNA". It matches the Rfam family "Bacterial large subunit ribosomal RNA", at positions 566 to 1315 of the family's 2925-position model. The record is from RNAcentral. Lineage: Bacteria; Pseudomonadati; Pseudomonadota; Gammaproteobacteria; Enterobacterales; Enterobacteriaceae.
UGAAGGCCCUGCAAAGCAGCAUCGCGGUGGCGGAGCGUCGUUUGCGACGCCCAACACACAAAACAAGCGGUGAGUGCUUUGGGGUGGGGUGACUGCGUACCUUUUGUAUAAUGGGUCAGCGACUUAUAUUCUGUAGCAAGGUUAACCGUAUAGGGGAGCCGAAGGGAAACCGAGUCUUAACUGGGCGUUAAGUUGCAGGGUAUAGACCCGAAACCCGGUGAUCUAGCCAUGGGCAGGUUGAAGGUUGGGUAACACUAACUGGAGGACCGAACCGACUAAUGUUGAAAAAUUAGCGGAUGACUUGUGGCUGGGGGUGAAAGGCCAAUCAAACCGGGAGAUAGCUGGUUCUCCCCGAAAGCUAUUUAGGUAGCGCCUCGUGAACUCAUCUUCGGGGGUAGAGCACUGUUUCGGCUAGGGGGUCAUCCCGACUUACCAACCCGAUGCAAACUGCGAAUACCGAAGAAUGUUAUCACGGGAGACACACGGCGGGUGCUAACGUCCGUCGUGAAGAGGGAAACAACCCAGACCGCCAGCUAAGGUCCCAAAGUCACAGUUAAGUGGGAAACGAUGUGGGAAGGCUCAGACAGCCAGGAUGUUGGCUUAGAAGCAGCCAUCAUUUAAAGAAAGCGUAAUAGCUCACUGGUCGAGUCGGCCUGCGCGGAAGAUGUAACGGGGCUAAACUGUGCACCGAAGCUGCGGCAGCGACGCUUAUGCGUUGUUGGGUAGGGGAGCGUUCUGUAAGCCUGCGAAGGUGUCCUGUGAGGGAUGCUGGAGGUAUCAGAAGUGCGAAUGCUGACAUAAGUAACGAUAA